This 253-nucleotide ribosomal RNA is filed under the name uncultured bacterium. Its description in RNAcentral is "partial 16S ribosomal RNA". It matches the Rfam family "Bacterial small subunit ribosomal RNA", at positions 524 to 776 of the family's 1533-position model. The record is from RNAcentral.
UACGGAGGGUGCGAGCGUUAAUCGGAAUUACUGGGCGUAAAGGGUGCGUAGGUGGUUAAUUAAGUUAUCUGUGAAAUCCCUGGGCUCAACCUGGGCAGGUCAGAUAAUACUGGUUAACUCGAGUAUGGGAGAGGGUAGUGGAAUUUCCGGUGUAGCGGUGAAAUGCGUAGAGAUCGGAAGGAACACCAGUGGCGAAGGCGGCUACCUGGCCUAAUACUGACACUGAGGCACGAAAGCGUGGGGAGCAAACAGG